CUAACAAAUCUCCCCUUUUUGGCUUGAUUUUCUUCAAAAUAUUCUUGAUUCUCUUUCUUCUUGUGCAUAAUCUUCACUCUUCAUAUAUAUUCUUCAUAUAUCACUGUUGUUUGGCAUGUUUAAAAAUGGAGCUUUUGGGGUUAAAAAAUAUAUUAGCCCUUUUUCGAGUUAAAAAUAUUGGAGCCCUUUUGCAUGGUUACAAGUGAGCUUUAUUUUCAAAUAUGUGACAGCAGAAUUGUUGAAAAUAUGAUUGACAAUUAUCUCGACAUGUAGCUUUUGGACAUAUAUCUUCAUUAUCAUCAAAUUGGUUGCAGCUUGAUUUUGAAACCGCUUUGAACCUAUUUAAUCUCGUCUCACCACACCAUUGGACCAUUGAACCGUAAGCUUUGAUACCACUUGUUGGGUUCGAAAUCGAGAGGGCGCCAUGCGGAAGCUAUUAGUUGCAAACUAUGAGACGAUAAAUAAGAUGACAACGAAAAACAAUACUAAAAACAUAAUUUUAUUAUAUGAUUUGGUCAAUGGGCCUACAUAUAAAACCUAAUAUUAAAAAUAUAAAACUAAUAAGAGAGAAAAUUCCCUAAAAGAAAAUCUUAAAAGACUACAUUGUGGAUG
This 612-nucleotide long non-coding RNA is filed under the name Capsicum annuum. Its description in RNAcentral is "long non-coding RNA (CANN_LNC016096)". Lineage: Eukaryota; Viridiplantae; Streptophyta; Magnoliopsida; Solanales; Solanaceae. The record is from RNAcentral.